GUAGGUGGCAAGCGUUGUCCGGAAUUAUUGGGCGUAAAGCGCGCGCAGGCGGUUCUUUAAGUCUGAUGUGAAAGCCCACGGCUCAACCGUGGAGGGUCAUUGGAAACUGGAGAACUUGAGUACAGAAGAGGAAAGCGGAAUUCCACGUGUAGCGGUGAAUGCGUAGAGAUGUGGAGGAACACCAGUGGCGAAGGCGGCUUUUCUGGUCUGUAACUGACGCUGAGGCGCGAAAGCGUGGGGAGCAAACAGGGAUUAGAUACCCUGGUAGUCCACGCCGUAAACGAUGAGUGCUAAGUGUUAGGGGGGUUUCCGCCCCCUUAGUGCUGCAGCUAACGCAUUAAGCACUCCGCCUGGGGAGUACGGCCGCAAGGCUG
This 374-nucleotide ribosomal RNA is filed under the name uncultured organism. Its description in RNAcentral is "partial 16S ribosomal RNA". It matches the Rfam family "Bacterial small subunit ribosomal RNA", at positions 527 to 896 of the family's 1533-position model. The record is from RNAcentral.